AAGACCCCUUUAUCCCAUUUCUCAGAUGUUUUUAAUGUUUUCAUUCAUCUACCGGGCCUGAGGGAGAUUUUCAUGACCGGUGGCUACUUCACAUGGUCUAAUAAACAAGACCAUCCCACUUUGGAAAAACUUGAUAGGGUCUUAAUGUCCUCUGACUGGGAAGACUUAUACCCUUUAGUGUCGGUUGUAAAAAUGGUCAAGGACUUAUCUGAUCAUAAUCCUUUGCUGAUGGAUGGGGGUGUGGCUCCGUCCAGGGCCCCGGGUAAUAGGUGCUUUAAGUUUGACAACGCCUGGUUGUGCAAUCCAGAGUUCCUACCUCUUGUUGCUGAAAUCUGGGCGAAACAUGUGUACACGGACGACCCUAUUGAUGUUCUGAAUAUUAAGUUGAAGAGGAUGAAGAAGUUUUUUAAAGGGUGGGGCUCAAAUAAUUUUGGCAAUAGUAGGAUUAAGAAGAACCUACUUAGACUGGAGCUUCAGGAGUUGGAGCUUUUAGAAGAGCAAUCUGAUCUGUGUGGGGAGGCAUAUAUGAGGAAGUUAAGUAUCCUGGUAGAACUUAAUAAUAUUUACAUGGAGGAGGAGGAGUCAUGGCACCAAAAGUCUACCAAAAGGUGGCUUCUGAAAGGUGAUAAUAAUACCGAUUUCUUCCAUAAAGUGGUUAAUGGGAGACGUAGGAAAAAUACGAUGGGUUCUCUUGAAUGUGGUUCGACUACUAUUGAGGGGACUAAGAAUUUAUUAUCCCAUGCUACUAGAUUCUAUAAGGAGUUGUUUGGACCUGCACCCGGCAAUAUGUGUAGUAUUGAUGCCUCUUUGUGGUCUAGUGAGGAGAAAAUAUCCUCGAGUGAUAAUGAUGAGUUAACCAAACCCUUUUCCCUUGAGGAGAUU
Molecule: ribosomal RNA, 882 nt
Filed under: Triticum aestivum (bread wheat)
Lineage: Eukaryota; Viridiplantae; Streptophyta; Magnoliopsida; Poales; Poaceae
Description: partial small subunit ribosomal RNA
Source: RNAcentral